Molecule: long non-coding RNA, 540 nt
Filed under: Theobroma cacao (cacao)
Lineage: Eukaryota; Viridiplantae; Streptophyta; Magnoliopsida; Malvales; Malvaceae
Description: long non-coding RNA (TCAC_LNC005864)
Source: RNAcentral
ACGUUUCUCUCCUCUUCCAUGAAAGCUUCUCUCAAGCUUCCAUCACUCUCCUAAACUAACCUCAAUUUUUGUGCUCUACACAACCUGUUAUAGGGUUUUUCAUACUCUUUUACUUCCUCACCUUAAACAAACCCUUAAAAGUCUUUCUUUAAUACUUUCUCUCACCAAUUGAACUUUGUAGAGAGAGAAAAAGAGGUUUCAUGAUAGCUUGAGGACUCGUGAGAAGAAAUUUCAUUACAAUCCACCAAGGUGAGUAAUGAAUUAUGACUGGUUUUAAGUUGUUGAUAAAGGCUAAUAAUUAGAGUUAUGAAUUGUGUAUUGUUGAAGUUGUUUAGCUAUUUCUAGUGUUACUAAAGUAGAGAACUGAAUAGCCAAUCAAAUGGUAAUGGAAGAUAGAUAGGAAAGGCUAGUGAAGCUUGAUUUGGGAAAAUAGCAUUUGGAGUGAUAUUAAUGUAAAUUGGAUUGGCUGUGAUGUUUUUGUGCGUGAUAGGUUCCAACGAGGCCCUCAGCCCUAUUUAAACCAUUAGUCGAAGUUAGAGC